This 217-nucleotide long non-coding RNA is filed under the name Ananas comosus (pineapple). Its description in RNAcentral is "long non-coding RNA (ACOM_LNC015949)". The record is from RNAcentral. Lineage: Eukaryota; Viridiplantae; Streptophyta; Magnoliopsida; Poales; Bromeliaceae.
UUUUAUUACUAACUUUAAUUAGUUAAUUAAUUCGUGCGAUGCGACGAAUAAGUAAUUAAAAAAAAUUGAAAAAGGCGAAAAAAAAGAAAAAAUAAUGAUGGAAGAAACAACGAUAAGAGAUAAGAUUUAUCUUACCAAUAAAAAAAAUAACAACAGAAAUAAAUGAAAGAGGAAUAAUUUACCCAAUGCAAAAGAAUAAUUCGGUUUAAUCUAAGUA